Molecule: ribosomal RNA, 156 nt
Filed under: Trichosporon inkin
Lineage: Eukaryota; Fungi; Basidiomycota; Tremellomycetes; Trichosporonales; Trichosporonaceae
Description: 5.8S ribosomal RNA
Rfam family: 5.8S ribosomal RNA
About the family: 5.8S ribosomal RNA (5.8S rRNA) is a component of the large subunit of the eukaryotic ribosome. It is transcribed by RNA polymerase I as part of the 45S precursor that also contains 18S and 28S rRNA. Functionally, it is thought that 5.8S rRNA may be involved in ribosome translocation.
Source: RNAcentral
AAAACUUUCAACAACGGAUCUCUUGGCUCUCGCAUCGAUGAAGAACGCAGCGAAUUGCGAUAAGUAAUGUGAAUUGCAGAAUUCAGUGAAUCAUCGAAUCUUUGAACGCAGCUUGCGCUCUCUGGUAUUCCGGAGAGCAUGCCUGUUUCAGUGUCA